Long non-coding RNA from Saccostrea cuccullata (small rock oyster), 1231 nucleotides. RefSeq lists it as uncharacterized. The record is from RefSeq and is a predicted model, not a curated record. The transcript is spliced from 3 exons. NCBI's taxonomy places the organism in Eukaryota, Metazoa, Mollusca, Bivalvia, Ostreida, Ostreidae.
AAUAUAGUGUGAACUUAAUAAAGAAAGUAAUUUAGAAAAUUAUUUUUUUUAAAUAUAAUUUUCUUUGUGUAUCAAACUUCCUGUAAUUAUCAGAAGCCAUAUUUGCUUUGUUCAAUCUAAAGAAAGUACUUAGAAGAUCUUUUGGACAUAUUCUGUAAUGUUGAUGUGAAUAUUUAUAAAUGUGUUGAAUACUGGCUCAACCUACACCUCCUGUUUAAUCCUUACUUAGGAACGAUACCUUUAAAGAGAAGUUUUGAUUCUAAUAAACGAUUGGAAAACCUAAAGUCUGGUUACAAUGGUGUCAGAAGUGGGAUUGGAAUCAUGAAACUGACCUGAGGGUAUCGAGGACCGGAAGUGGAGACAUGCACAACGAGCCAGAUGCCUGAGUAGUCCAUAGUUGAUGGUGGAUUCUGACAUUUAGUAUUUAGUUUGUGUUUAUGUUGCAUAAUAUGGUUGUACUUUUUGUGUGAAUUUUUCUAUGCUAUUUUUUUUCCUAUGUCUUUACCCAAAAUUACCAAAACACUGCAAAAGUUGAAUACAGAAUUAGAUAUCCAUUCAAAAAGAAAUAUCUCAACACCCAUAUUAUUAUCAGAUAGUAAAGGUUUAAGUCUUAAGAAAGAAGUAAGAACAGAUUUAGAACAUAAUAUUAAAUUUUGGUGUAAACCUGGUCUUCAAACUAAAAAUGCUAUAAACUGGUUUAAGAAUAGGCUUGAAUCUGAACUAAAAACCUUGGGGAAAAUACAUUUGUAUGUUUGGCUAGGUACAUGUGACCUUACUAUUAAGUCUGGAAAAUUUACAUCUAUCAGAUCAACCAGUGAUCAAACCGUAGAAUGUAUACAUGAACAAUUCCAAGAACUCAAGUCAUUUCUAGAACAUUACAAAAACGUUAAAGUAACAUUUUUGGAAAUUCCAGUGUAUUCCGUACUAAAAUGGAACAAAUCUAAAGGACAUGAAAAUCCGUCAAAAUUCAAACAAGAUGACGAACUUCUGGAAUCGCAAAUUAAGGAAUUGAAUAAAAUCAUUCAUGCUCUGAAUUCAGAAUCCAGAUCACCCAAGUUUUCAUUAGAUCUUCAGAGAAACAGAAAAGUUAAUAAAGGAAGGAAAAGUGUUUAUUAUUUCAACUAUGAACUUUACCGUGAUGGCGUUCAUCCAUGUUCAGCUCUAGCCAAGUUGUGGUUGAAAAGAUUAGCACUUUUAGUGGCAAAAGACUGUUAUAUUGAAUGACAUUUUC